AUUCAGGCCGGUCCUGCAGAGAGGAAGCCCUUCUGCUUCCAGGUAUUGGAAGGGCUUCCUCUCUGCAGGACCGGCCUGAAU
Molecule: microRNA precursor, 81 nt
Filed under: Pongo abelii (Sumatran orangutan)
Lineage: Eukaryota; Metazoa; Chordata; Mammalia; Primates; Hominidae
Description: mir-3158 microRNA precursor family
Rfam family: mir-3158 microRNA precursor family
Source: Rfam by way of RNAcentral